This is a long non-coding RNA of Anguilla anguilla (European eel), 633 nucleotides long. RefSeq lists it as uncharacterized. Lineage: Eukaryota; Metazoa; Chordata; Actinopteri; Anguilliformes; Anguillidae. The transcript has 3 exons. The record is from RefSeq and is a predicted model, not a curated record.
UCAAAAAUCUACAACUAAAAUAAUCUAAAUAUUGAAGCAAGUGCAAGCAACCUAAAAACCGUCUGGGAUGCACACAAAACUCCAGGUAGGUGUGAAAAUGAGCCCCUAAGCAUUAUAAAGUGCAAUUCCCCUUUAAGCUUUUACAUAUGUACUGUCUCUCUCCUCUUACUCAUCAAUUCAACAGAGAACAACACACAUCUUUGGUUGACUUUGAGAGCACGGGUUGCACACAAAUUGAUUGCUUUUCACGCAGUUGUCUUUAGCCUUAUUCCAAUUGCAUUUGCUUACUUGGCACUGUGUUUUCUUCCCAGGAGUGAUGGGUGUGCAAGAUAAUGCUGCUAGCGUGGCUGUUUUGGCAGCUGCUGCUUCUCUUCGACUUCUUGUAAUUUUCACGCAGCUCACAUGUCAGUGAUGGGAAAAAAAUACACACGUGUAUGCACCAAUCAGAGUUAUGGUACCUACAGCCAAUCAGAGGAAGAGGAGCUCACAACCAAUCAGUGAGCAGCAAGGAAUAGCCUUUUGCGGCCCAUACUUGGAGAGGACGGGAGCUGAUGAAGCAUGGCGGAUGCUCAGAUCAUCAAAACCAAUGGAGAAAAGUCAACAUACGCAAGGAGCCCCCAGGACCGAUUCUGA